Non-coding RNA from Lysinibacillus macroides, 78 nucleotides. The record is from Rfam. Lineage: Bacteria; Bacillati; Bacillota; Bacilli; Caryophanales; Bacillaceae.
GUGCUACUACAACCGCACUGGAAAGGUUUAAGUAUCUUUAGGGAUCACCUUUAUAAACAGGCGAGUCUGAGUCUAUGA